Molecule: long non-coding RNA, 1494 nt
Organism: Dreissena polymorpha
Lineage: Eukaryota; Metazoa; Mollusca; Bivalvia; Myida; Dreissenidae
Exons: 4
Source: RefSeq, a predicted model, not a curated record
UGGAAAGCCAAAGGGGACCCCCGCUAAAAUACAUAUACUUAUAUAGUAAAUAUCGGGAUUGUCAUUUUUCGCGGAACUUUCACUUUCCGCGAAAAACCAAUGCCAGCAUGGCCAUAAAACACUACAUACAAAUCGAAGUCUAAAAAGCGCGGAACUUUCAUAUAUUUUCCGUCGGAGCAAUUAUUUUUCAACCCUGUAGAAAAAGCGGGCUCAAUUAAUCGCGCGGAACCUUAUUUAUCUACUCUGUACAAAUAGUAGUGUUUAAAAUCGCGCGGAGAUUGUACAAUGCUAUUUUAAGAAGUCUAUUAAAGAGAGAAAAUCCAGUAAAUACCAGAUCCAAAAAGCGCGGAACACAAAUAUCGUCCAAGAAAAUUAAGCAUUGAAUUACCGUACAAAUCUCGGGUUGUUAGGUGUUAGAAUCCCUAGUUACCCGAAAAAUUUGAUUGGAUCCGAUACUUAGAAAUAACCAAUCAGAUACUUUGUAACAAAUGCAACACAAUCAGUGCGUUCAGUAAGUAUAACGUUUCAAGAUGGCGGAGCGAAUUGCAUGGUUGUUGUUUCUACUCGAUGGAUUCGCAGAUAAUUCGGAAAUAGAUCAGAUUGGGAUCAAUAACUUUAUUGCAUACGAUCAUUUACAUGUAUUACUAGGUGUGUGUUGCCAGUAAUGGUUGAAGAUAUGCCAAACAAAUUGUGGCUCUCUAUACAGACAGAUUUCAGGUCUCAAUUUCGACUUCAAAGGUCAACAUAUCACUGAUAUCAGGAAUUCUGUGAAUUUGUGGCACCAUGUAUGGUACGUGAGCGCAAAAUGUCUGUUGGAAAAAGGAUAUUGGAAUAAGCAAAGGGACACAACAUUUCACAGUCAUUUCAACAUGUAGAGUCUUGUCAGCAAUGAUGGAGCAGUACAUCAGAUUUCCAGAAUCUCGUCAUGAGCUUAAGAUCAUUGCCUAUGGAUUUUAUCAAUGAUGUAAAAUGAUUGGACUGUUGAUGGAACCCACAGUGCAUGUCCUGCUUCAACAUCUGAGCAUAGGUCCUUGUUUAUCGGCAGUUUAGUUCUUCAAGCAGUCUGUGACAGUAACUUGAAAUGUUUGGACAUAUGCCCUGGAUGGCCAAGUUCUGUGCAUGAUGCCCAUUUAAAUAGGAACGGCCCAGUGGCGCAUUAAAUGGACAAUCGUUCGAAUGUUCUGGAAGAUUCAGCUUACCGCCUGACAAGAAAUCUUGCUUUUUGUUCCGUAUCGAGGCCAUGGACAUUUGUAUCAUUUGCAAAAGAUACAGCGAUAUUUGUGCCUUUGUUCAUGCUUUAUAGUUGAUUCACAAUUGGAAGCCAUAACCUGUUUUAUAGGAUGGUGUUAGUGGGACAAUGAAUUUUGUAAAGAUUUAAAGACUGGAAAAGAUAAUUAAAAGUCAAAAGAGUUCUGCUAUUGUUAAGCAUGCUUUAUUGAUGUGUAAUGUUAGAAAAAUAGCAUUAUUAACAGAAUAAAAUGUCCAUAAUUUGAA